Molecule: unclassified non-coding RNA, 335 nt
Filed under: soil metagenome
Description: partial contains 5.8S ribosomal RNA, internal transcribed spacer 2, and large subunit ribosomal RNA
Rfam family: 5.8S ribosomal RNA (bases 1-120)
Source: RNAcentral
GAUGAAGAACGUAGUGAAAUGCGAUAAGUAGUGUGAAUUGCAGAAUUCAGUGAAUCAUCGAAUCUUUGAACGCACAUUGCGCCCCUUGGUAUUCCAUGGGGCAUGCCUGUUCGAGCGUCAUUUCAACCAUCAAGCCCCCGGCUUGUGUUGGGGACCUGCGGCUGCCGCAGGCCCUGAAAACCAGUGGCGGGCUCGCUAGUCACUCCGAGCGUAGUAAUACAUCUCGCUCAGGGCGUGCUGCGGGUUCCGGCCGUUAAAAAGCCUUAUUUACCCAAGGUUGACCUCGGAUCAGGUAGGAAGACCCGCUGAACUUAAGCAUAUCAAUAAGCGGAGGA